UACAGAGGGUGCAAGCGUUAAUCGGAAUUACUGGGCGUAAAGCGUGCGUAGACGGUUAUGUAAGUCGGGUGUGAAAGCCCCGGGCUCAACCUGGGAACGCCAUUCGAGACUGCAUAGCUAGGGUGCGGAAGAGGGAAGCGGAAUUUCCGGUGUAGCGGUGAAAUGCGUAGAUAUCGGAAGGAACACCAGUGGCGAAAGCGGCUUCCUGGUCCAGCACCGACGUUCAGGCACGAAAGCGUGGGGAGCAAACAGG
This 253-nucleotide ribosomal RNA is filed under the name uncultured bacterium. Its description in RNAcentral is "partial 16S ribosomal RNA". It matches the Rfam family "Bacterial small subunit ribosomal RNA", at positions 524 to 776 of the family's 1533-position model. The record is from RNAcentral.